This 253-nucleotide ribosomal RNA is filed under the name uncultured bacterium. Its description in RNAcentral is "partial 16S ribosomal RNA". It matches the Rfam family "Bacterial small subunit ribosomal RNA", at positions 524 to 776 of the family's 1533-position model. The record is from RNAcentral.
UACGUAGGCAGCGAGCGUUGUUCGGAUUUACUGGGCGUAAAGGGUGCGUAGGCGGUUGUUUAAGUUUGGUGUGAAAUCUCCCGGCUCAACUGGGAGGGUGCGCCGAAUACUGAAUGACUAGAGUGCGGGAGAGGAGAGUGGAAUUCCUGGUGUAGCGGUGAAAUGCGUAGAUAUCAGGAGGAACACCGGUGGUGUAGACGGCUCUCUGGACCGUAACUGACGCUGAGGCACGAAAGCGUGGGUAGCAAACAGG